AUAGCUUCUCAGCCUUCUGGCUAAGAUCAAGUGUAGUUCUGUUUUUAUAAGUUUAAUAUCUGGAAUGUCUUCUAUCCAAAGACAAUUUUGUUUGUUUUGUUUUGUUUUUGAGAUGGAGUUUCGGCUACACUCCAGCCUAGGCAAUAGAGGGUGACCUCGUCUCAAAAAAA
This 170-nucleotide small nuclear RNA is filed under the name Macaca nemestrina (pig-tailed macaque). RNAcentral describes it as "U2 spliceosomal RNA (ENSMNEG00000015569.1)". It matches the Rfam family "U2 spliceosomal RNA". From Rfam's summary of the family: U2 is a small nuclear RNA (snRNA) component of the spliceosome (involved in pre-mRNA splicing). Complementary binding between U2 snRNA (in an area lying towards the 5' end but 3' to hairpin I) and the branchpoint sequence (BPS) of the intron results the bulging out of an unpaired adenosine, on the BPS, which initiates a nucleophilic attack at the intronic 5' splice site, thus starting the first of two transesterification reactions that mediate splicing. Lineage: Eukaryota; Metazoa; Chordata; Mammalia; Primates; Cercopithecidae. The record is from RNAcentral.